Long non-coding RNA from Daucus carota subsp. sativus, 1344 nucleotides. RefSeq lists it as uncharacterized. The transcript has 5 exons. Lineage: Eukaryota; Viridiplantae; Streptophyta; Magnoliopsida; Apiales; Apiaceae. The record is from RefSeq and is a predicted model, not a curated record.
GAUGUUGCCACCUAAAAUGUUGCCUUAGAUGCUUAAAAUUUGAUUGAAGCAGGUGUAUGCCACCAUCGCAUUUUCGGUGUUGCCAUUAAUAAGAUAAAUGUUGUCAUAACUAAAACAAACCCUCAAUGCCAACAUUUUGUGCGAUGUUACCUUAAAGAUGUGUUAAAAUUAAUAGGAGGGAAACAACCCGCCUUUUCAACUCUGAAUUUUUUAAAAAUAAAUUAUGCAACCGCCCAUCCCAUCACUCACACAGAUAAAACAUAACAAUAAAAUUAAAACUAAAACCAAUUCUUUCUCUCGGCUCACUCUCGCUCUCUCUCGCAUCUCUCACUAUCUAUCUCGCAUCUCUCGCAUUUCACAUCUCUCAUUCAUCUCUCCCAUCUCAUUCUUUCAUUCCUUUCAUCUCUCUCAUCUCACUCUUUCAUCUCUCGAAGCUUGUCUCGGAGCUUAUCUCGCUGCUUAUACAAGGAAAGGGUCCGACGAUUAUAUACAGGAAGCUUAUCUCGGUGUUUUAGUUCUUGUCUCGGAGCUCAGUAACUUUCUUCUCGUAGCUUGAAUUUGGUCCGACUAUAACAUUAUAAGGGAUAUACAAGAGACUUAUCUUCUCUUGAUCAUGAAGGAAGAAGACAUACUAAAGGUUCUUCGAUUGUUUGAAGGAGACACUGAAAGAAAAAAUAUUAGUGAAGUAUAUAUCUUUAAGGAAGUGGAUGGUAGCGAAAACUCAUGGUUUUUCUCUUAAAUAAUAUUAGCAUGUCAUACAUCAUUUGAAGAAAAUUAUCUUGGUGAACCUAUCCUUCCUGGUUGCUCUUGCCUGGUGCCUUUUGAUGGGCAACAGAACAUCCAAUAUUUAAGGAAUCAUGCAAGCUAUUGUGAUGCACCCGUUUGACAUAGGCGACCACUACAUCAUUAAUAACGACCAGGAAAAAUAAUGAGAAGAUAAAUUAUCCGAAUUUCGUGUUACUUUCGAAAUGGUGACUAUUUUGAUUGAAAAGAUUCGGGAUCAAAUUGCGCAAAAGAUGGAAGAAAAAGUGGACAAGAAGGUUCGAGAUAAUGUCAAGUUGUUGAUGUCCAAACAGGCAGAACAAAUUCCAGAAUUGAAGCUCGAUAUUGUAGAGCUAACUGCUGCAGUGCCGAAUGCUUCAGCCGUAGGUGAUCACCAUGACGACAUUACUUCAUAAAAUUUGGUCUGUGGAAUUUUAGUAUUGUGAUAAUAUUUUAGUAUCGAUAGAAUUUUAGUAUUUGCAGAAUUUUAGUAAGUUGUAGUAAAAUUAUGUGGAAUUUGUAUUGUGGAGUUUGGAUUUAACUAUGUUAUGGCUUGUUGGUUUAGUCAAUAUUAUUUAACGU